AUGUGCCAGCCCACAGCGCACCUCAGCUGCGUCCAACCUGUCAGGUCUCCCUCUCAGUGUCCCGGGGUGACAGCGGAGUCUGUAGGUGCCAGGCGGGUGUGCCGUCCUCGUGGGAGAGGUGGGGAUGGGCUUGGGUGGAGGGCGCCGGGCUGCAUGGCACAGGGGUGCUGGGAGCAGCUGUGGCAUCUCCAAAAGACAAGUCACUCAGCAGAGCAGGGAGCAGUCCAGGCAGCUUCCUGGAGGAGGAGGCGCUCCAGAGAGCAGUUGUGCAGGCUGGUCUGCUGCCCAGGGGAGCGCCCGUGCCUGGUUCCAGGGUCUGGGAGGGGGAGGGAAGCAGGCGUGCGGACUCAAAACACUCCCCUGGGCCCCCCCUUGGCCUCUGGCUCCUUCCACGGCCGAACCCAGACACCUAAUUCACAGGCAGCCACGUCUGUGCGGCGCUCACGGGCCUGUUCUAACCCGGGGAGGGCGCCCUGCUCUUCCCCGACGUGUCUCUCUCUGCGUGGAGGCCGCAGGAGGAGUGACCGUGCCCGAGGUGUGGCCGGGCUCCCCGCCUGCUGUGAGUCAGGUCCCUCUCCCAGCCAGCCCGCGCCUGCUGGGGCCUCCUGGGUCGCGGGCCUCAUCCUGACCCCCCUCUUCGUGCUCAGCCGCCACCUGCUUUGCGGGGAGACACCUGGGAGGGCUGCUUUCUUUCGGUCAGGUGCGUUUGCUGUGGGCGGACGUCAGGGUCUCCUUGUCCCGCCACCUCCACACCUUCAGAGCCUGGUCCCUCCACGGGAGGGUCCUGUCAGACGUGGGGCUGUAGGGGUGACAGCGGACCCUUGGCUCAGGCUCUCCUCACCUGGAGGGAGCAGCAGGGACUGCCCGAGGCAGUGCUGGGGAGGGCUCGACUUCGCCCAGCAGAUGUGGCUGGAGCCCCUGCACAUGGGACAUGGGGUUCUGUCCCCGUGGCAUGUGGCCUCCAGAAGGACACUUAGGUUUUUGCUAAUUUUUUUUCUUAUUUUUAUUUUCGUUGCUUUUUAG
This 1023-nucleotide long non-coding RNA is filed under the name Sus scrofa (pig). RNAcentral describes it as "lncRNA (ENSSSCG00070013115.1)". The record is from RNAcentral. Lineage: Eukaryota; Metazoa; Chordata; Mammalia; Artiodactyla; Suidae.